GGACGAACGCUGGCGGCGUGCUUAACACAUGCAAGUCGUACGGUAAGGCCCUUUCGGGGGUACACGAGUGGCGAACGGGUGAGUAACACGUGAGUAACCUGCCCGCAACUUUGGGAUAACGCUAGGAAACUGGUGCUAAUACUGGAUAUGUGCUCCUGCUGCAUGGUGGGGGUUGGAAAGCUCCGGCGGUUGUGGAUGGACUCGCGGCCUAUCAGCUUGUUGGUGGGGUAGUGGCCUACCAAGGCGGCGACGGGGAGCCGGCCUGAGAGGGUGACCGGCCACAGUGGGACUGAGAUACGGCCCAGACUCCUACGGGAGGCAGCAGUGGGGAAUGUUGCACAAUGGGCGCAAGCCUGAUGCAGCAACGCCGCGUGCGGGAUGACGGCCUUCGGGUUGUAAACCGCUUUCAGCAGGGACGAAGCUUUUUGUGACGGUACCUGCAGAAGAAGCACCGGCUAACUACGUG
RNAcentral lists this ribosomal RNA (466 nucleotides) under uncultured bacterium. RNAcentral describes it as "partial 16S ribosomal RNA". It matches the Rfam family "Bacterial small subunit ribosomal RNA", at positions 27 to 507 of the family's 1533-position model. The record is from RNAcentral.